Molecule: ribosomal RNA, 1924 nt
Rfam family: Bacterial large subunit ribosomal RNA
AGAAAGCGUAAUAGCUCACUGGUCUAGUGAUUCUGCGCGGAAAAUAUAACGGGGCUAAAAUGAGUACCGAAGCUUUAGACUUGCACUUAAUUCUAAUUAUAAAUUUGGCUAUGAGCUUUUAAGUUAUAUUUCUCAUAAUUUAAUUGCACUCAUAUAAAUUAAAUUAUGAGAAAAUAGUUUAGCUAAAUAAUUAGAAGUAAUUAGAAUUAAGUGCAAGUGGUAGGAGAGCGUUCUAUUCAGCGUUGAAGGUAUACCGGUAAGGAGUGCUGGAGCGGAUAGAAGUGAGCAUGCAGGCAUGAGUAGCGAUAAAAGGGGUGAGAAUCCCCUUCGCCGUAAACCCAAGGUUUCCUACGCGAUGCUCGUCAUCGUAGGGUUAGUCGGGUCCUAAGCAAAGUCCGAAAGGGGUAUGCGAUGGAAAAUUGGUUAAUAUUCCAAUACCAAUUAUUAUGUGCGAUGGAAGGACGCUUAAAGUUAGUGGAGCUAGCGGAUGGAAGUGCUAGUCUAAGGGUGUAGGUUGAGUUAUAGGCAAAUCCGUAACUCUCUAUCCGAGACCUCAAAGGCUCUUGACGCUCUUCGGAGUAGAUGGAGAAUCCAUGAUACUAUCGAGCCAAGAAAAGUUUCUAAGUUUAGUAAUAAUUGCCCGUACCGUAAACCGACACAGGUGGGUGGGAUGAGUAUUCUAAGGCGCGUGGAAGAACUCUCUUUAAGGAACUCUGCAAAAUAGCACCGUAUCUUCGGUAUAAGGUGUGCCUAACUUUGUAUUAAGAUUUACUCCCAAAGCAAAGAAGGUUACAACAAAGAGUCCCUCCCGACUGUUUACCAUAAACACAGCACUCUGCUAACUCGUAAGAGGAUGUAUAGGGUGUGACGCCUGCCCGGUGCUCGAAGGUUAAUUGAUGGGGUUAGCAUUAGCGAAGCUCUUGAUCGAAGCCCGAGUAAACGGCGGCCGUAACUAUAACGGUCCUAAGGUAGCGAAAUUCCUUGUCGGUUAAAUACCGACCUGCAUGAAUGGCGUAACGAGAUGGGAGCUGUCUCAAAGAGGGAUCCAGUGAAAUUGUAGUGGAGGUGAAAAUUCCUCCUACCCGCGGCAAGACGGAAAGACCCCGUGGACCUUUACUACAGCUUGACACUGCUAUUUGGAUAAAGAUGCGCAGGAUAGGUGGGAGGCUUUGAUCCAUAGACUCUGGUUUAUGGUGAGCCAUUGUUGAGAUACCACUCUUCUUUAUUUGGGUAGCUAACUAGCCUAAGUUAUCCUUAGGUAGGACAAUGUCUGGUGGGUAGUUUGACUGGGGCGGUCGCCUCCCAAAGUGUAACGGAGGCUUACAAAGGUUGGCUCAGAACGGUUGGAAAUCGUUCGUAGAGUAUAAAGGCAUAAGCCAGCUUAACUGCGAGACGUACAUGUCAAGCAGAGACGAAAGUCGGUCUUAGUGAUCCGGUGGUUCUGUGUGGAAGGGCCAUCGCUCAAAGGAUAAAAGGUACCCCGGGGAUAACAGGCUGAUCUCCCCCAAGAGCUCACAUCGACGGGGAGGUUUGGCACCUCGAUGUCGGCUCAUCGCAUCCUGGGGCUGGAGCAGGUCCCAAGGGUAUGGCUGUUCGCCAUUUAAAGCGGUACGCGAGCUGGGUUCAGAACGUCGUGAGACAGUUCGGUCCCUAUCUGCCGUGGGCGUAAGAAGAUUGAGGAGAGUUGACCCUAGUACGAGAGGACCGGGUUGAACCAGCCACUGGUGUAUCAGUUGUUCUGCCAAGAGCAUCGCUGAGUAGCUAAGCUGGGAUGUGAUAAGAGCUGAAAGCAUCUAAGCUCGAAGCCAACUCCAAGAUGAAUCUUCUUUUAAGAGCUCUAGUAGACUACUAGUUUGAUAGGCUGGGUGUGUAAUGGAUGAGAGUCCUUUAGCUGACCAGUACUAAUAGCUCGUUUGCUUAUCUU